RNAcentral lists this ribosomal RNA (253 nucleotides) under uncultured bacterium. Its description in RNAcentral is "partial 16S ribosomal RNA". It matches the Rfam family "Bacterial small subunit ribosomal RNA", at positions 524 to 776 of the family's 1533-position model. The record is from RNAcentral.
UACAGAGGGUGCGAGCGUUAAUCGGAAUUACUGGGCGUAAAGCGCACGUAGGUGGCGACGUAAGUCGGGUGUGAAAGCCCCGGGCUCAACCUGGGAAUUGCAUUCGAGACUGCAUUGCUGGAGUACGGAAGAGGAAGGCGGAAUUCCCGGUGUAGCGGUGAAAUGCGUAGAUAUCAGGAGGAACACCGAUGGCGAAGGCAGAUCUCUGGGCCGUAACUGACGCUGAGGAGCGAAAGCGUGGGGAGCGAACAGG